GGGCGGUUAGCUCAGCUGGUUAGAGCGAGUGCUUUACACGCAUUAGGUCGGGGGUCCGAAUCCCUCACCGCCCACCA
Molecule: transfer RNA, 77 nt
Filed under: Kiritimatiellia bacterium
Lineage: Bacteria; Pseudomonadati; Kiritimatiellota; Kiritimatiellia
Description: Kiritimatiellae bacterium (gut metagenome) tRNA-Val
Rfam family: tRNA
About the family: Transfer RNA (tRNA) molecules are approximately 80 nucleotides in length. Their secondary structure includes four short double-helical elements and three loops (D, anti-codon, and T loops).
Source: RNAcentral